CUGCUGCCUUCCGUAGGAGUUUGGGCCGUGUCUCAGUCCCAAUGUGGCCGUUCACCCUCUCAGGCCGGCUACUGAUCGUCGCUUGGUAGGCCGUUACCCUGCCAACUGGCUAAUCAGACGCGGGUCCAUCUCAUACCACCGGAGUUUUUACCACUGCACCAUGCAGUGCUGUGGUCUUAUGCGGUAUUAGCAGUCAUUUCUAACUGUUAUCCCCCUGUAUGAGGCAGGUUACCCACGCGUUACUCACCCG
Molecule: ribosomal RNA, 250 nt
Filed under: uncultured bacterium
Lineage: Bacteria
Description: partial 16S ribosomal RNA
Source: RNAcentral